Talpa occidentalis (Iberian mole) is the source of this 132-nucleotide small nucleolar RNA. RefSeq annotates it as small nucleolar RNA SNORA70. The transcript has a single exon. The record is from RefSeq and is a predicted model, not a curated record. Lineage: Eukaryota; Metazoa; Chordata; Mammalia; Eulipotyphla; Talpidae.
UUGAAGCCAGUUAAGCCACUGUGCUUUCCUUCUCAUUGGGCCUGGUGUGAAAUGGCUGGGAAAAGCAGCCUCCUUGGUAGUGUAUGUGCCUGUUGCAUGUAUGGAUUGCUCUAAGGGACUUUGGAGACAGCC